This 72-nucleotide transfer RNA is filed under the name Chitinophagaceae bacterium. RNAcentral describes it as "tRNA-Asn". It matches the Rfam family "tRNA". Rfam says of the family: Transfer RNA (tRNA) molecules are approximately 80 nucleotides in length. RNAcentral also lists the same sequence under 1 other name. The record is from RNAcentral. Lineage: Bacteria; Pseudomonadati; Bacteroidota; Chitinophagia; Chitinophagales; Chitinophagaceae.
GGAUGAAUAGCUCAACGGCAGAGCGGGUGCUUGUUAAGUACCGGGUUGAAAGUUCGAAUCUUUCUUCAUCCU